Molecule: small nucleolar RNA, 99 nt
Organism: Pipistrellus kuhlii (Kuhl's pipistrelle)
Lineage: Eukaryota; Metazoa; Chordata; Mammalia; Chiroptera; Vespertilionidae
Product: small nucleolar RNA SNORA17
Exons: 1
Source: RefSeq, a predicted model, not a curated record
ACUUCCCCUAGUUAUGUUGCAGGUUAGGUGGCAGGCAGGGAGAGAGACUCAUCUAUACUCAGCAUCUGGCCCUGGAUGUCUGGAUGAUAGACUGACAUU